AAAUAAUCCUUGUGCUUCUGUUUCGGAAGUGCCUCUCCAAAGCUUCAGAUUCCCUCGCUUCUCUUCGACUCUACGGGCUUUUGUAAGCGAUUUCAUGCCCGAUCAAAGCAUGAAAGUGUAAAUUAUGCUCUAUUUUGUUUUAGAUAGUUGUUAAUUAGGGUUUCCUGAGUUAUGUCAAAGGUGUUAUUUGAUAUGUUUCGCUGAUUCGUUGGGAUUAAUUUUCUGGUUGUGUGGGUGACCCUAUCCGAUUUAUGAUUAUGAGAUAAUGUUGGCUUUAUUGGAUCUCGUACAUGUUUAAAUGAUACAUUCAGGUGUGUUUUCUUAUAAAAGCAUCCUAAAGAUGGAUGAGACUAUGAAGCAAUUUCAGCAA
This 370-nucleotide unclassified non-coding RNA is filed under the name Hevea brasiliensis (rubber tree). Lineage: Eukaryota; Viridiplantae; Streptophyta; Magnoliopsida; Malpighiales; Euphorbiaceae. The record is from RNAcentral.